This 497-nucleotide ribosomal RNA is filed under the name uncultured bacterium. RNAcentral describes it as "partial 16S ribosomal RNA". It matches the Rfam family "Bacterial small subunit ribosomal RNA", at positions 28 to 507 of the family's 1533-position model. The record is from RNAcentral.
GAUGAACGCUGGCGGCGUGCCUAAUACAUGCAAGUCGAGCGAACAGAUGAGGAGCUUGCUCCUCUGACGUUAGCGGCGGACGGGUGAGUAACACGUGGAUAACCUACCUAUAAGACUGGGAUAACUUCGGGAAACCGGAGCUAAUACCGGAUAAUAUAUUGAACCGCAAUGUUCAAUAGUGAAAGACGGUUUUGCUGUCACUUAUAGAUGGAUCCGCGCCGCAUUAGCUAGUUGGUAAGGUAACGGCUUACCCAGGCAACGAUGCGUAGCCGACCUGAGAGGGUGAUCGGCCACCCUGGCACUGAGAAUCGGUCCAGACUCCUACGGGAGGCAGCAGUAGGGAAUCUUCCGCAAUGGGCGAAAGCCUGACGUUGCAACGCCGCGUGAGUGAUGAAGGUCUUCUGAUCGUAAAACUCUGUUAUUAGGGAAGUACUAAUGUGUAAGUAACUAUGCACGUCUUGACGGUACCUAAUCAGAAAGCCACGGCUAACUACGUG